This is an RNA transcript of Manihot esculenta (cassava), 4825 nucleotides long. RefSeq lists it as uncharacterized. The record is from RefSeq and is a predicted model, not a curated record. The transcript has 3 exons. NCBI's taxonomy places the organism in Eukaryota, Viridiplantae, Streptophyta, Magnoliopsida, Malpighiales, Euphorbiaceae.
UUUGCGGGUACGGGUACGGAGCAAGGAAAAAAAAAGAAAAAGAUAAAAGGUGCCCAAAAAACCCUAAUUUUCAAUUUUGCACCGCACCAAUUUUUUGCUAAACAGCAGGGAAGUAACGAUAGUAGUGGGAAUGGAUUGUCAAACAAUCAGAAGGUACAUAAGUGGAAAAACACUGACCAAUCAAAGUUCCAACAUGGAAACAUAAUUGUCAAAGGUUGAGCGAUCAAUCCCUUCUUCCAUCAUUAUUCCUCUAAAUCUUCCACUGCCAAGAGAAGCUCCUUUCUUUCCUUCUUUUACCCUACAAAAGGAGCCCAUCUACUGUAUUCUAUUUGUUCUGGUCUGGCUAUAUACUCCACUUCAGUUUUGCACUUUUUGGAUCUAUACAAGCCGUCCAGUGGUGCUUGCCGGUGUCGUCUUGUUUUAUUUUUUGUGAUAUUGUAUGUUUUUUCAUCGGUGGUUUAGGUUUGAAUCUGUGAUUUUCUUCAACAAACUCGGGUUCAAGGUUGCUUUGAAAGAUUCUGGUUAUGAAGACUCAAAAGUUAUUGGAACAUCUCGUUCUCUUGAUUGCCUUAGCUUUGACAUAAUUGGUUGACGACGAGAGAGAGCACACUUGUUAGCAUUCAUGCUGUGGUCAUGGGCGUCUAUAAGUGUGCUCUCUGCCGUCGUCAUACAAUAUGCUCAAAGAAGGUUUAUCUUUACUGGCACAUGGCUGAGCAAGUGAUUUUAACGGACGUCUUGCUGUAGCUGUAUCUCAGGUUUUGAUUUAUUUCUAAUAAUAGACUUGUGGUACCUCUGAUGACUUCAUUAUUUACAACUCAUGGCUUUGUUAUUAUUAGCCUUUUGAUGCUUACUUUGAUAGGUCACUAACAUCUUGCUGUAAAAUGAUUUGAGUUGCUUCUUAAUUGAUGAGUGAAUGUUGCUUUAAAUUAGUAGCAGAUAUAAGACAACAGUCUGCAUUAGAGGCACAUCAUUUGAGUUCCUAACAUGCAAAGAACUCCAUUCAUUGUGAAGGGAGAUACUCCUAAGUUUCUGUGAUGCUAAUGUGGGCUGUAAAUACUGUAAGUCAGUUUUGUUUUCUUGCUUGUUUGAAAUAUUAUAUGGGCUUGAGGUUAUUGGUCAUGUCAGUUAGGUCUUGAAUAAAUAUGCAUUAAUCAUUCCAUUUGUUUCCCUUUGGAUCUCAUCUACUCCUACUUCAUUCUUUCAUUUGUUCUCUCUCUCUCUCUCUCUCUCUCUCAAUUUAAUCAAUGGUGUUCGGGUUGGCCUUUGACUACUUCAUAGAAGAUGAAAGUGCGUGCUUUGACUCAUAUUAAUUGGUAUCAGUAUCAUCUGAUUGAGCAUUUGUUUGCAUAGUGAAAGUGAGGACCACUUUUUCCCCCCUACUAUAUCCACUUGUUCUCUAUUAUAUUUUCUACAAUGUCAGACCUGUAACUUCUAACUAGGGAUGUGUAGUGUUAUUCCAGAUCGGGAUUUACCUAAAAGCCAAAGCUGAAUUGAACUUUCAGUUAUUGUUUGAUUCUUUGAUAUCUCAGUUCCAAUUUGGUUUUUGAUAUCUAAAUUUAUGCAAUUUGUGUCAUGGAAAUCAUACUUUAAUUACCACUUUAAGCUUUAAAGUUGCUGACACACAAAUGCAAUAUAUAAUUUAUCUUUCAGUUAUUCUUUAAUUAUUUAGUAUUUACAUUAUAAAGUAUUAUAUAAUUAAGGAUUGAAAUCAUAUUAUAUAAUGAACUAAUACACUUACAACUAUAAAGUGAUUUAAUGUAUUUAUAAUUAAAAUAUGAAAGUUAAUAUUAGUUUUAUAUGGUCCAUAGUUUUUAACAUAAUAUAACUUGAAAUUGCAUAUAAACAUUUAUAUACUUAUGUUGAAAGUAUUCCUAAAAAAUCAUAGAAAAAUAUGUAUAAAAUCGAUUAUUUAGUUCAUUCCUUAGUGAAUAACCAAAAUCAUAAAAUAAUUCGGUUUGGUAUCUUCAAGAACCGAGCACAUCCUUACUUCAACAAUCAGAUUUACUUGUCAAGUAUCAUAUUUGGAAUUUGUCAAAGUUUAGUCUACAAGCAUGUCAGUUUUAGUCGCAAUAUUUGACAUGAUGCUUGAAGCUGGAACAGUUUAAUUAGUUAGACCAAUCCCAACUGUCUGAAAUUACUUGCAUAUUAAUUUUUUGGUUCAGUGAUUUAGGGCUUGAAAGUUAUUUGGUCAUUUGCGUGUAGUUAGAAUUGGUGUGAGAGCCACUCUGGAUUUGAAAAUUGUGGUUAGCUGGUGGACAUAUGAAGAAAGGGCUACAUAUGGCUAGAGAGAAAGCAUAAUUGCCCGAGGCAUAAGUGGAUCAAAGUACUCAAAGGUUUAGUUUUGGCUUAGCAACUAUACACUCACAAAUUUAUGUAAAAUUGUGGAUUCCCACAUUGGCUUGGAAAGGGAGUUGAAAUGCAUUUAUUAGCUUAAUCUUAGCUAUAAAGACAACUUGUCUAACCAUUUUGGGAUAAUGGGUUAGAGUCUAUAAAUCAUAUGAGCUAAUUGGGAUAAGGUAUUGUAAUGGUUGAUACACACUUUUCAUUUGGAAGUGAGAAAUGAAUGGAAUUUUUAUCAUAAUUAGAAUGAGAGACCACCUAAAUCUUCCUCCUUCCACUUACAUGGCAAAUUAACAUAUUUUUAUUGAAUGUUGAGCACUAGCUUACCGUUUAGGAGACUAGAAGUUGCAGGAAUUUAUUUACAAAGUUUUGAAGUUAAGGAUACGAAUAUUUUAAUUUUUAUUUUUCCUUCCAUUUUUUGCAUGCCACUCACUUUGUCCCCUCGUAUGUGCCUUCACAUGCAUGUGUAACCUAAAAAGUGUGCACAACAUAAAUUGGCAGCUUAUCCAGAGUAAAAUUUUUAGUUUGUGUGGGGUUUAAACGAGCAUUAUGUUCUUUGUUUUAAAGUUUUGAAUAGAAAUUUAACAUGCAACUCAUCUUAUGUUGAUGAGUGUACAAAGAGAACAAGUGAUAUUUUAGAGGCUUGUUUACAAAAAAGUCCAAACAUUUAUACACAAUUUCACUUUAAUCCAGUUGUUUCAGUUUUACAAAUUAGACUAAAUUGAAACAUUUUGUUGCAAUUUUAUCUAGCUAACCAAAUUUGGUCUAAUUUUUGAAAAAAGCUUUUGUUUUUUCAUAUUUUCCCUCUCUCUCCCCUUCCCUUCACUUACAAAUCUUUUCCCAAAGGCUUCUGCCCUUUCUCCCUUUCCUGACAUUGUUGAAGUUUUAAGUUUCCGUUCCCUCAACGUGGCAAGGCACCAUUGACAUUCCGGUGUCCUUAGCUUCAUUGGGAAAGAUAAGAAGUGACAUAUCAGUGAAGCUUGGUGCAGCAACUUCUCCCCUUCAAUUCACACAAACCAGAACUCUUCACAUUUUUUUUUCAAAAGCAAGGAAUGAUAUGAUUUUGGUGGCUGGUUCGAUCCAGCAUGAAGACGAUUUUGGUCAAAUUGGUUCUGAGUCGACCCUUGAUUAGGUCUAACGAAGAUGCAUUUAUCUGAGUUUUGCAUUGGUGGCAUUUGUAUAGGAGAGCAGAGAAAGGAGAGGAGUAGGGAACAUAUAUGUUCCCAAGUGAUUCAUUGGAUUAAAUUGUAAUUUUUUGCAGACGUUUGGAAGGCAAAAUAAGACUUCAGUAGAGCUUGUAAAUAAUAAUAACUGUUGAGUAAGUGCUGUUGUGGUGCCUUGUAAGGCUUAUAUGAGAGAUGCAAGUCAUGCAUGGCUACAGGAAGUAACGUGGACAAGGGAUUUAGAAUUUGGACUGAGAAUGAGUUUUGUUAAUGGAAUGUGAUGAUCAUCUCAAGGAGCAACGACUGUGAAUGGUAAACUAAUGUGGAUACAUGAUAGUAUAGUAUAGUAGGGGCCAUUAAUGUCCAUUUCAUGAGUGGAUGUGGCAAUCAACUUUGUUAGUAUUGAACAGUACUCCUUUGGGAGUUUCUUGUACACUGCUGAUGUGGGACUUCUUCCCCAAAUCCAUAUUCUAACAGAGUUGAAUUUGUCUUAUUGUUUUAUUUUUCAUUCCUUAUUUAUAUGUCUUAUUGUUCUAUUUUGCUAGAUCCUUAAUCAGACAUCAUUCUUUAUCCAGUAAAUUCCUAUUGCGGAUGAGCAAGCUGUGGUUCUUGAAGUUUCAAUUAAAUGUAUUUUAGAUGCUUGUCCUACGUUCCUUAUUCAUACUCAUAUCGCUGCGGUGCAAUUUCUAUGGCAUGUCCAAUUUUAGGAUUUGAGGAUAUGAUGAGUGAAUGCUACGAAGCCAUGACCAAGCCUUUCGACUUCUCGGUUUCAACUGUGAUGGAUUAGUCUUUGCCUUGGAAUCGUGCGUCUGCAAUGAAGUAUCGCCAGGUGUUUUUGGGUUUCAAUUAGUCUUGCGUUGUUUAUAUGCAAGUCAGCAUUAGCAGCAGCAUAGGGGUGGAAGAUUAUGAAAGACAACAAGGCUAAUGUUACAGAAACAUAUUAUUAUCUAGAGAAGCAGAGUGACUGAUUACAGCGAGUCAGAGAGUCUGGGUUCAUGUACGUUGGGAGGAUUCAUUUAUGGGCUUGAGUUUGUUCGACUUGCCUGCAUCACAGUUCUCUUGUCAGGUUAAUAUUUUAACUUAAAUUUAACGUUAGUCUUUCUGUUUACUUAUUGAAUGGGUGUUUAUUGUACAGAAUCAGAAGCAACUUGAAUUGGAAUCUCCAUCAAUCUCUUUUUUCUGUUACUUGUAUUAAUUUUUUUCCAUUAAAGAAGAAGCUGUUGAGAAGUAUGAAAUUUGUUUAUGUUAACUCAAAAGUUGUUAGGCAUACAGCCCAUUGAUGGGCUGAACUGAAAGCAGCUCCUAACUUGGAUAUGGUUUUC